This 253-nucleotide ribosomal RNA is filed under the name uncultured bacterium. RNAcentral's name for it is "partial 16S ribosomal RNA". It matches the Rfam family "Bacterial small subunit ribosomal RNA", at positions 524 to 776 of the family's 1533-position model. The record is from RNAcentral.
UACGUAGGGUGCAAGCGUUAAUCGGAAUUACUGGGCGUAAAGCGUGCGCAGGCGGUUAUGUAAGACAGAUGUGAAAUGCCCGGGCUUAACCUGGGAACUGCAUUUGUGACUGCAUGGCUAGAAUCUGGCAGAGGGGGGUAGAAUUCCACGUGUAGCAGUGAAAUGCGUAGAGAUCCGGAGGAACACCAAAGGCGAAGGCAGUGUCCUGGGGAGUACCUGACGCUCAGGUGCGAAAGCCAGGGGAGCGAACGGG